Molecule: small nucleolar RNA, 107 nt
Organism: Hibiscus syriacus
Lineage: Eukaryota; Viridiplantae; Streptophyta; Magnoliopsida; Malvales; Malvaceae
Source: RefSeq, a predicted model, not a curated record
AACCUAUGCAUAGGACAUUUCCACAACAAAGCCUUGAAUCUUUCCCAUGCUUAUUAUAGGCUUUCAUCCUCCAUUUUCUUGAAUGAAGUUAAACCAUUUCAAAGUUU